UACGUAGGGUGCAAGCGUUGUCCGGAAUCAUUGGGCGUAAAGAGCGUGUAGGCGGCUCGAUUAGUCCGCUGUAAAAGUCCAGGGCUCAACCCUGGGAUGCCGGUGGAAACUGUCGGGCUAGAGUCCGGGAGAGGCGAGUGGAAUUCCUGGUGUAGCGGUGAAAUGCGCAGAUAUCAGGAGGAACACCGGUGGCGAAGGCGGGUCUCUGGGCCGUAACUGACGCUGAGGAGCGAAAGCAUGGGGAGCGAACAGG
Molecule: ribosomal RNA, 253 nt
Filed under: uncultured bacterium
Lineage: Bacteria
Description: partial 16S ribosomal RNA
Rfam family: Bacterial small subunit ribosomal RNA
Source: RNAcentral